UCACCGGGCCGAUCUUUUGCCUCUUUUUCUUCGCCCUGUUCAUGAAGCGCGCCAGCCCGGCGGCGGUCUGGGUGGCGUCGUUCGCCGGCAUCAUCGCGGCGGUGGCGGUGGCGUUCUCCGGUCCUCUGGUGUUAUACUGGCACGACCGCUUUGGGAUUGACCCGGCCGUCUUCGGCACCGAACUGGUGGCGGGGACCGAUCCGAAGACCGGCCAACCGACCCAAACGGUGACCGACCCCAUCAGUUUCCAGUGGAUCCCCCUGACGGCGGUCGGCGUGACCAUCGGGUUGGGCUGGCUACUGAGUCUCUUUCUGCCCCAUCGAAAUCCCCCGUCCACCCCGCCCGUUUCAUGAAAGCCCGCCUGAUCAGCCUCUCCCUCGCCGCCAUGACUGUCGCCGGAUGCAAAACCAAUGACCUCGGCCAGGGCCGGGUGACCCUGGAUGCCGCCACCCGCGAAAAGGCGCUCGCCAUUCUCCGCGGGGGCGUCAAAGCGGAGGGCGAGGCAAAUUUCUGGCCGGCCAUGCACGCCGCCGAGGGCCUGACCCUGGCCGGCCAUGGCGACGAGGUCCGCGCCGCGAUCGAACCGAAACUCGCCACCGACAAGGAUGCCCAGCAUCGCUGUGGUCUCGCCCGGGAACUGGUGCGGGCGGGGGACCGGUCGAAGCUCUCCAUCCUGACGGAAGUGUUGGCCAGUGACGAUCCGCACGGGCACACCCACGCGGCGGAAAGCCUGUUCAAAGUGUAUGAGGUCGGCGACCCCAAGGCGAUGCGGCGGCAUUUCGAGCAGACGAAAAACAUCAAGCUGCGCCUCAUGGCCGCCGCGGCGCUGGCCCGGCAGGGUGAUCUCGGCGCGGUGGCGGUGAUCCGCGAGUCCCUCCGCGGUAGCGACCCGGACGGCCUCAUGAUUUCGGCCUGGAUUUUGGGCCAGCUCGGCAAUGCGCAGGAUGUCGAGCCGCUCCGGUCGCGGAUCGCGGACGCGCCGACGCCGGUCAUUCGCGCCUAUAUCGAGCACGCCCUGGCCAUGCUCGGCGACCCCGACGGACUGGUGGCCCUCAGCCGGAACCUCGACUCCGAAGACGCCGCCAUCCGGACCUACGCGGCGAAUUUCGCUGGUGAGUCCAAGGCGGCCGUCACCGCGCCGAAGUUGAUAAACCUGCUCGAUGAUGCCAACCUGGACACCCGCAUCCGCGCGGCCCAGUCCCUCCUUUUCCUGGCCAAAUAGAUGAGAACCAGCAAGACCCUGAAAAAAAUCCGCGAAGGCGGGCUGGCGCGCUGCGCCGCGCUCGGCCACUUCGUGCCCGCCUACAUCGCCCACGCCGCCCGAGCCGGGUACGAUUGCAUCUGGCUCGAUCUGGAGCACCGGGCCAUCGAUAUCCGCGAGAUCCAGGCGCUCAUGCCGAUUUUCCGCGAGUUCGACAUCGAUUGCAUGUUGCGCGCCCCCACUCUCGAGAAGACCGGCCUUUACCGCUAUCUGGAAGAGGGCGCCACCGGCCUGAUGAUCCCGCACGUCUCCACCCCGGAGCGCGCCCGUGAGCUGGUCCAGGCGG
RNAcentral lists this unclassified non-coding RNA (1547 nucleotides) under uncultured fungus. RNAcentral's name for it is "sequence contains 18S rRNA gene, ITS1, 5.8S rRNA gene, ITS2, 28S rRNA gene". The record is from RNAcentral. Lineage: Eukaryota; Fungi.